RNAcentral lists this ribosomal RNA (586 nucleotides) under uncultured Bacteroidota bacterium. RNAcentral's name for it is "bacterial SSU rRNA". It matches the Rfam family "Bacterial small subunit ribosomal RNA", at positions 56 to 635 of the family's 1533-position model. The record is from RNAcentral. Lineage: Bacteria; Pseudomonadati; Bacteroidota.
UGCAAGUCGAGGGGCAGCAUAAGGUAGCAAUACUUUGAUGGCGACCGGCGCACGGGUGAGUAACACGUAUGCAACCUACCCUGUACAGGGGGAUAGCCCGGAGAAAUUCGGAUUAAUACCCCAUAAAGAUAUUUAGAGGCAUCUUUGAAUAUUUAAAGCUUCGGCGGUACGGGAUGGGCAUGCGCAACAUUAGCUAGUUGGUAGGGUAACGGCCUACCAAGGCUACGAUGUUUAGGGGACCUGAGAGGGUGAUCCCCCACACUGGUACUGAGACACGGACCAGACUCCUACGGGAGGCAGCAGUGAGGAAUAUUGGUCAAUGGGCGUAAGCCUGAACCAGCCAUCCCGCGUGAAGGAAGAAGGCGCUAUGCGUUGUAAACUUCUUUUCCAGGGGAAGAAAACCCGCUACGCGUAGCGGCUUGCCGGUACCCUGGGAAUAAGCAUCGGCUAACUCCGUGCCAGCAGCCGCGGUAAUACGGAGGAUGCGAGCGUUAUCCGGAUUUAUUGGGUUUAAAGGGUGCGUAGGCGGAUUAAUAAGUCAGUGGUGAAAACCUGCAGCUUAACUGUAGAAUUGCCAUUGAUACUG